RNAcentral lists this ribosomal RNA (253 nucleotides) under uncultured bacterium. RNAcentral's name for it is "partial 16S ribosomal RNA". It matches the Rfam family "Bacterial small subunit ribosomal RNA", at positions 524 to 776 of the family's 1533-position model. The record is from RNAcentral.
UACGGGGGGGGCAAGCGUUGUUCGGAAUUACUGGGCGUAAAGGGCUCGUAGGCGGCCAACUAAGUCAGACGUGAAAUCCCUCGGCUUAACCGGGGAACUGCGUCUGAUACUGGAUGGCUUGAGUUUGGGAGAGGGAUGCGGAAUUCCAGGUGUAGCGGUGAAAUGCGUAGAUAUCGAGAGGAACACCAGUGGCGGAGGCGAGUCCCUGGACAACUCCUGACACUGAGGCACGAAAGCUAGGGGAGCAAACAGG